This 468-nucleotide ribosomal RNA is filed under the name uncultured bacterium. Its description in RNAcentral is "partial 16S ribosomal RNA". It matches the Rfam family "Bacterial small subunit ribosomal RNA", at positions 28 to 507 of the family's 1533-position model. The record is from RNAcentral.
GACGAACGCUGGCGGCGUGCUUAACACAUGCAAGUCGAACGGAAAGGCCCUGCUUUUGUGGGGUGCUCGAGUGGCGAACGGGUGAGUAACACGUGAGUAACCUGCCCUUGACUUUGGGAUAACUUCAGGAAACUGGGGCUAAUACCGGAUAGGAGCUCCUGCUGCAUGGUGUGGGUUGGAAAGUUUCGGCGGUUGGGGAUGGACUCGCGGCUUAUCAGCUUGUUGGUGGGGUAGUGGCUUACCAAGGCUUUGACGGGUAGCCGGCCUGAGAGGGUGAACGGCCACAUUGGGACUGAGAUACGGCCCAGACUCCUACGGGAGGCAGCAGUGGGGAAUAUUGCACAGUGGGCGGAAGCCUGAUGCAGCAACGCCGCGUGCGGGAUGACGGCCUUCGGGUUGUAAACCGCUUUCGCCUGUGACGAAGCGUGAGUGGCGGUAAUGGGUAAAGAAGCACCGGCUAACUACGUG